RNAcentral lists this ribosomal RNA (503 nucleotides) under uncultured bacterium. RNAcentral describes it as "partial 16S ribosomal RNA". It matches the Rfam family "Bacterial small subunit ribosomal RNA", at positions 30 to 523 of the family's 1533-position model. The record is from RNAcentral.
AUUGAACGCUGGCGGCAGGCUUAACACAUGCAAGUCGAGCGGGGUGAUGGUGCUUGCACUAUCACUUAGCGGCGGACGGGUGAGUAAUGCUUAGGAAUCUGCCUAUUAGUGGGGGACAACAUCUCGAAAGGGAUGCUAAUACCGCAUACGUCCUACGGGAGAAAGCAGGGGAUCACUUGUGACCUUGCGCUAAUAGACGAGCCUAAGUCGGAUUAGCCAGUUGGUGGGGUAAAGGCCUACCAAGGCGACGAUCUGUAGCGGGUCUGAGAGGAUGAUCCGGCAGACUGGGACUGAGACACGGCCCAGACUCCUACGGGAGGCAGCAGUGGGGAAUAUUGGACAAUGGGGGGAACCCUGAUCCAGCCAUGCCGCGUGUGUGAAGAAGGCCUUAUGGUUGUAAAGCACUUUAAGCGAGGAGGAGGCUCUUUUGGUUAAUACCCAAGAUGAGUGGACGUUACUCGCAGAAUAAGCACCGGCUAACUCUGUGCCAGCCGCCGCCGUAA